CAGGCGGAGUCUCAACCACUGCGCCACCAGGGAAGCCCUCUGUAUCUAUAAUCGAUCAGCUGAGGUGGUUUUACCUUAAUAUUUGUUUACAAAGAGCAGAAUAUUAAAUCAUUCACUUACAGCCCUCCUGGGGGUAAAAUCAGUUAAAGAAAAAAACACUUUCAUGAAACUGAAAUUUCUUAAAAGGAAAAGGACAGAAUUAUACACUAUAAAAAAGAACACUCCCAACAUCUCAUAAAUUUAUCAAACGAGAGUGACUUAUAACAGGACACAUUUUACUGAAAAGAAUUCUACAUUAUUGAUUUCUAAAAAUACAACAGUGUGAAAGAUAAUAAGAACAGGAGAACAGAGUGGGCUGUAGUUUACUCUUCAGUAUUAUUUUUAAGCUGUCAAAGGCUGGACUACUG
Molecule: long non-coding RNA, 407 nt
Organism: Aethalodelphis obliquidens (Pacific white-sided dolphin)
Lineage: Eukaryota; Metazoa; Chordata; Mammalia; Artiodactyla; Delphinidae
Exons: 2
Source: RefSeq, a predicted model, not a curated record